GGGAAACUGGGCUGAAGCUGGGAGAAGGAAGGCAGAGUCAGGGAGACACCAUGGAGCCGCACCCAGAGUCAGACAUGCUGAAACUUUGCUGGCUGCUGAACCACUUGGCUGCAAUGUGACACCUUCCCAGUUCCUCUCUUCGGGCUAGACCUAUUUUCUUUCAGGUGGACCUUCCCUUCGGCAAGCCUACCUUACUACCCCUCUGGAACAAGCAUUUCUCCUGGGUACCCUGUCACACCAUCUCUCUCCAGAGAAGCUUAAUUUUCGCCUUCACUCAGCUCUGAAAGGAUGGUGGCAUGUCUAACUUGCUAGGAAGUCCUCGGUACAGGAAAGACAUUCGCUGACUGAACCACAGGGAACCAGGAUUUACCGUCUGCAGAUACUGAGAGGAGUGGGCAGGACCCGGCAUAAAGACACUCACCUGUCUCUAGUUGCUUUGGCAAGUUUGUCUUCU
Alexandromys fortis (reed vole) is the source of this 454-nucleotide long non-coding RNA. RefSeq lists it as uncharacterized. Lineage: Eukaryota; Metazoa; Chordata; Mammalia; Rodentia; Cricetidae. The record is from RefSeq and is a predicted model, not a curated record. The transcript has 3 exons.